ACGCUGGCGGCGUGCUUAACACAUGCAAGUCGAACGAUGAAGCCUAGCUUGCUAGGUGGAUUAGUGGCGAACGGGUGAGUAAUACGUGAGUAACCUACCUUUAACUCUGGGAUAAGCCUGGGAAACUGGGUCUAAUACCGGAUACGACCAAUCUCCGCAUGGGGUGUUGGUGGAAAGCGUUAUGUAGUGGUUAUAGGUGGGCUCACGGCCUAUCAGCUUGUUGGUGAGGUAACGGCUCACCAAGGCGACGACGGGUAGCCGGCCUGAGAGGGUGACCGGCCACACUGGGACUGAGACACGGCCCAGACUCCUACGGGAGGCAGCAGUGGGGAAUAUUGCACAAUGGGCGCAAGCCUGAUGCAGCGACGCCGCGUGAGGGAUGACGGCCUUCGGGUUGUAAACCUCUGUUAGCAGGGAAGAAGAGAGAUUGACGGUACCUGCAGAGAAAGCGCCGGCUAACUACGUGCCAGCAGCCGCGGUAAUACGUAGGGGGCGAGCGUUGUCCGGAAUUAUUGGGCGUAAAGAGCUUGUAGGCGGUUUGUCGCGUCUGCUGUGAAAGGCCGGAGCUUAACUCCGUGUAUUGCAGUGGGUACGGGCAGACUAGAGUGCAGUAGGGGAGACUGGAAUUCCUGGUGUAGCGGUGGAAUGCGCAGAUAUCAGGAGGAACACCGAUGGCGAAGGCAGGUCUCUGGGCUGUAACUGACGCUGAGAAGCGAAAGCAUGGGGAGCGAACAGGAUUAGAUACCCUGGUAGUCCAUGCCGUAAACGUUGGGCACUAGGUGUGGGGGACAUUCCACGUUUUCCGCGCCGUAGCUAACGCAUUAAGUGCCCCGCCUGGGGAGUACGGCCGCAAGGCUAAAACUCAAAGAAAUUGACGGGGGCCCGCACAAGCGGCGGAGCAUGCGGAUUA
This 910-nucleotide ribosomal RNA is filed under the name uncultured bacterium. RNAcentral's name for it is "bacterial SSU rRNA". It matches the Rfam family "Bacterial small subunit ribosomal RNA", at positions 33 to 948 of the family's 1533-position model. The record is from RNAcentral.